RNAcentral lists this ribosomal RNA (253 nucleotides) under uncultured bacterium. RNAcentral's name for it is "partial 16S ribosomal RNA". It matches the Rfam family "Bacterial small subunit ribosomal RNA", at positions 524 to 776 of the family's 1533-position model. The record is from RNAcentral.
GACAGAGGUGCCGAGCGUUAGGCGGAAUCACUGGGCUUAAAGCGUGUGUAGGCGGGCGGGCAAGUACCUUGUGAAAUCCCACGGCUCAACCGUGGAACUGCUGGGUAUACUGCUCGUCUUGAGCCAAUCAGGGGCGAGCGGAACAGACGGUGGAGCGGUGAAAUGCGUAGAUAUCGGGAAGAACACCGGUGGCGAAGGCGGCUCACUGGCCCGAAACUGACGCUCAUGCACGACAGCGUGGGGAUCAAACAGG